Molecule: ribosomal RNA, 497 nt
Filed under: uncultured bacterium
Lineage: Bacteria
Description: partial 16S ribosomal RNA
Rfam family: Bacterial small subunit ribosomal RNA
Source: RNAcentral
GAUGAACGCUGGCGGCGUGCCUAAUACAUGCAAGUCGAGCGAACAGAUAAGGAGCUUGCUCCUUUGACGUUAGCGGCGGACGGGUGAGUAACACGUGGGUAACCUACCUAUAAGACUGGGAUAACUUCGGGAAACCGGAGCUAAUACCGGAUAACAUUUGGAACCGCAUGGUUCUAAAGUGAAAGAUGGUUUUGCUAUCACUUAUAGAUGGACCCGCGCCGUAUUAGCUAGUUGGUAAGGUAACGGCUUACCAAGGCAACGAUACGUAGCCGACCUGAGAGGGUGAUCGGCCACACUGGAACUGAGACACGGUCCAGACUCCGACGGGGGGGAGCAGUAGGGAAUCUUCCGCAAUGGGCGAAAGCCUGACGGAGCAACGCCGCGUGAGUGAUGAAGGGUUUCGGCUCGUAAAACUCUGUUAUUAGGGAAGAACAAACGUGUAAGUAACUGUGCACGUCUUGACGGUACCUAAUCAGAAAGCCACGGCUAACUACGUG